GCGGUUGCCUGUGGAUCUUAUUUCUGACCCACCCAGUGAGACAGGUCUUUUCUGCUGGGCUAGGAAGCUGCAUUGCUGCUCCUAGAUCAAUUCUGAGGUCGUUUCCUAGUUGUUUGGAUGGAAAUUUGGGACUUCGGAGGAGAACCCCUUCCUCACUCAGACAUCUUGGCACUAGAAGUCCUUAAAAGUCGUUGUUACUAAUCACUGAAGAUCAUUCUUUAGCUCAUUCUGGUAGCAUAUAAAGUUCAAAGAAAAAGCUUCUUCUUGACAAGAACUACUACUCCUGGCAACAUAGCUUUACUCUCAGGUGGACACUGCCAUUGAUAUGAUCCAGCUUUUCUACACCUGAUGGACCGAUAAGACAAAUGAAUUUCCUGAACUCAUGGCACAAUUUGAUCUCCUGAAUUCACCGAGAUAUUUCCAUCUCUGGUCACCUAAGUCCUCAUUUUUCUUGAGCUCUCUGGAACAUUUGAUGCUGUGGUGGUCUAGGGGUUCUGGCAACCCCAAAAUUCAAGAGCAAAAGGACAUGGAUCUGCCUGAAAAGAAUUCAACUACUCAAGCC
This is a non-coding RNA of Phascolarctos cinereus (koala), 562 nucleotides long. NCBI's taxonomy places the organism in Eukaryota, Metazoa, Chordata, Mammalia, Diprotodontia, Phascolarctidae. The record is from RefSeq and is a predicted model, not a curated record.